Long non-coding RNA from Solanum stenotomum, 560 nucleotides. RefSeq lists it as uncharacterized. Lineage: Eukaryota; Viridiplantae; Streptophyta; Magnoliopsida; Solanales; Solanaceae. The transcript has 4 exons. The record is from RefSeq and is a predicted model, not a curated record.
CGGAUCAUCAUAACACAUACACACUGUGGUGGUUUAAGUAAUAUCUUUUUAGAGUUGUUGCUUGGUCAUUGUCAAUAGGAGGAUUUUGGAGAAAUAGAAGGAAAUGAAAUUGAGGCUCGAAUGGAAAAAGAUGCAAAUCUUAUUGUAAUCCUUGAAAGGAGUAUAGGAAUAUCUACUUAUCAAGAUGGAACUCUUCUAUGUUGAGGAAAGAAAUGUCAAUAUCAAAUGAGCUGCAAGAGUUUUGUGUGCGUGAAUGCUCAUGCUGCAAACAGAAGAAGCGCACAAAGGAUAAAAAGGAUUGUGAAUACCCAAAAUGCGCAUCUUUGAAAUUGAUCUUCUGAUGGCACUGCUUCGGCCACAACAUCCAUUCCUGGUGUAUUGGGAGAAAAAUUAUUCUCCGUGACAGCAGAAAACAUAUUUGACAUAACUUGCAUUAAGAAGCAAGUGUUGCAUGUUAACCAUGUCCAUAAGAUGUUGUCGAAUAAACUAUUUCAAAUUCAGCUAAGGAAGUCAUCGUGGGGCAGCUCAAAUACCACACAUCCAACUUUGUCUGUUCUUUC